Molecule: ribosomal RNA, 472 nt
Filed under: uncultured bacterium
Lineage: Bacteria
Description: bacterial SSU rRNA
Rfam family: Bacterial small subunit ribosomal RNA
Source: RNAcentral
UGGGGAAUAUUGGACAAUGGGGGCAACCCUGAUCCAGCAAUGCCGCGUGUGUGAAGAAGGCCUGCGGGUUGUAAAGCACUUUUGGCAGGGAUGAAAAGCACUGGAUUAAUAACCCAGUGUGUUGACCUAACCUGCAGAAGAAGCACCGGCUAACUCUGUGCCAGCAGCCGCGGUAAUACAGAGGGUGCAAGCGUUAAUCGGAAUUACUGGGCGUAAAGCGCGCGUAGGUGGUUAGUUAAGUUGGAUGUGAAAUCCCCGGGCUCAACCUGGGAACUGCAUUCAAAACUGACUGACUAGAGUAUGGUAGAGGGUGGUGGAAUUUCCUGUGUAGCGGUGAAAUGCGUAGAUAUAGGAAGGAACACCAGUGGCGAAGGCGACCACCUGGACUGAUACUGACACUGAGGUGCGAAAGUGUGGGGAUCAAACAGGAUUAGAUACCCCAGUAGUCCCUGAGCGGGCUGGCAAGGCGCAU